Long non-coding RNA from Selaginella moellendorffii, 485 nucleotides. RefSeq lists it as uncharacterized. The record is from RefSeq and is a predicted model, not a curated record. The transcript is spliced from 3 exons. Lineage: Eukaryota; Viridiplantae; Streptophyta; Lycopodiopsida; Selaginellales; Selaginellaceae.
ACAAGGCAGAUUUCUCGGUUCUUGGUUCAUCACUCCGGAAUUUGAGAAGGAUUCCAGCGAGAUCUCGGCGAGCAAGCUCGAUUUCAUGGGUCCUCCCAUACAUGGCGUGAGCAAACCAGACGAUUGGGCAAAAGCCGUCGUUGAUUGCUACCCAUGGAAUUGGAGCUCUCAUGCCCUUGGUUUUGGAGUCAAUACAGCAUAAGCUCUUCAUGCUUAUCCAUAGCCAGAGAAUAUGUGUUGCUAUUCCUCAUCCUAACUAAAUGGAACAACGAUGGAAAGAUGUAAGGCCCCAGCUGUGCACUUUAGACCAUCAGUUCCAUGCUGAGUUGAAGCUUGGCUGUCAUCAUUUCCAGCAACUUUCCUUCACAAAGACUCUUUAGAAGUAGUGAUCUAGAUUGAAGCAGAUUGUGUUGUUUUGCUCACUACUGGACAUUUUCGGUUGGAGGACCGUGAUCAGCAGCCAGUGACACACGCACUUUCUGGCA